GGGGUGUGGUCGGCCUCCUUGGGUGAGAGGACCGGCCACUUGGCUUUCUUUGUGGGCUAGGUUCUUGAUUUGUGUUAAUUGGGUAUAAUUGAAUAAUUAACUAAUUAAUUAGUCAAUUAAUAGACUAAUUGCCUAAUUGAUUAGCUAAUUAAUAUAAUAAAAAGGAAAAGAUUUGAUAGUUACCUUGUGGAGAGGAUUUGAUGAGGGUGGAUGAAAAAGGUUUUGAAUUGUUACUUC
Molecule: long non-coding RNA, 237 nt
Filed under: Malus domestica (apple)
Lineage: Eukaryota; Viridiplantae; Streptophyta; Magnoliopsida; Rosales; Rosaceae
Description: long non-coding RNA (MDOM_LNC012550)
Source: RNAcentral